This 303-nucleotide ribosomal RNA is filed under the name uncultured bacterium. RNAcentral's name for it is "partial 16S ribosomal RNA". It matches the Rfam family "Bacterial small subunit ribosomal RNA", at positions 507 to 807 of the family's 1533-position model. The record is from RNAcentral.
AGCAGUCGCCGCGGUAAUACGGAGGAUCCGAGCGUUAUCCGGAAUUAUUGGGUUUAAAGGGUGCGUAGGCGGAUAGAUAAGUCAGUGGUGAAAGACGGUGGCUCAACCAUCGCAGUGCCGUUGAUACUGUUUAUCUUGAAUAUGGAUGAGGUAGGCGGAAUGUGGCAAGUAGCGGUGAAAUGCAUAGAUAUGCCACAGAACACCGAUUGCGAAGGCAGCUUACCAAGGCAAAAUUGACGCUGAGGCACGAAAGCGUGGGGAUCGAACAGGAUUAGAUACCCGCGUAGUCCCUGUCUCUUAUAC